Dermochelys coriacea (leatherback sea turtle) is the source of this 9400-nucleotide RNA transcript. It is a transcript of the gene named signal-regulatory protein beta-1-like, with no coding region annotated. The record is from RefSeq and is a predicted model, not a curated record. The transcript has 6 exons. NCBI's taxonomy places the organism in Eukaryota, Metazoa, Chordata, Testudines, Dermochelyidae.
ACGCCUCAGACGCAUUAGCACAAGCUCCCCAGAGGACUCCUGGCCGCUUGCUGAUCACGUACAUUUCUACUGCAGGUCACUGGCUGUUUUCCAGCCGUGCCCUCUGGAUCGGGCUCUUCUUGGAAAGGUGCUGACUGCCGCCUUCCUCCUCUUCCUCUUCCUGAGAGGAAGCGGGUUACGUAGUAAGUAAACGCUUCCUUCCUGGGAUUUACCUUGGGGCAGAGUUGCCAGGGCAAUGGAGCGAGUGGGAAAACUCAAGGUUGCAGCCCCGGAGCAGAGUAGGAAGAGUUAACACCAUGCAGGGACGUCAGCACUGGGGGAUGCCGGGUGUCUGCAGGAUGCUAAUAGGAUACAGCCCCUCGCCCCUCUGGGUUAGCAGCUCGAUUCUGGCCCAGAACAGUAGUGACCAGAGUCUAGUGCUUCUCUGAUGAUUCCUAGAUGGCCACAACACAUCGCUAAGUGACCAUGUGACUGGACCCCAGCUGCCACCCUUGUCGACAGGAUCUGCAGCCAGGCCAAAGCUCAUGUUGACCUGGGAAACAAAUUCCUCCCCACACCGCACACGUCCCCAGGUGCGGGGCCUGCUGGCCUGGGUGGAGGGACAAGGGAGCUUCAUUUUUCCUUGGCUUCUCCACCUCACACAGAUUAGAGCGCAAUGCCCCUCUGGCAUGGCUGUCCCCACAGACGCGAGUGUGUCUACCCUGCAGUCCGAGGGGUGACUGCUGCACCUGGGGGCACCUCUGAGCCAGCUUUGGCCUUGUUAACUCCACUAACAUAGCAGUGAUGGGCAGCAGCCCCUGCUUCCUGCGUUCAGCGACUGUACUCUAGGGCCCUUGGCCAGCCAGAGCCACUGCCCCAGACAGCCAGCUGGGUCAGGGUGAGCCCUGCCAGGCCCAGACCAGGUGGGAGAUUUUCUUCUGUUGCUAAGCAUAAUGUCCCAAACAGGUAGCUGCUGGAAACCUUCCACCAGAGUAUUAACCCUCUCCCUGCCAAAUCAACUCCUCCCUGGCAUUACCAGGCGGCUGAUUCAUUUCUCAGUGGUGUCUAUGCAAGUUGCCAUGCCCUAUUGCUGUCUCUGGGGUGGAUUCCUGCAGGACUCCUCCUUGGUUGCAGAGCAAUGUAGCUGAUACAACGAGGAGUCCUUGUGGCACCUUAGAGACGAACACAUUUAUCUGGGCAUAAGCUUUCGUGGGCUAGAACCCACCUCAUCAGAUGCAUGGAGUGGAAAAUACAGGAGCAGCCCCACUUCUGUUUCCUGGUUUUCUUGCACCCUUCGCUGCCUGCCAACUUCUCUGUCUGCACCUCCGUCCCCACAGUCUGGGAAAUGAGUUCAUAGAUGGAGCUGCAGUGACCCCUGCUGGCCACGCCAAUGGAGCCCAGGCCUCUGAUGAGCUGUACCUACCAAACUCACCCACCUACUGAUGGAGCAGCUGACAGGGAAUUCCUGACCUGGCUCCCUGCCCCCUUCAUCCUGUCUCUCUGUGCUGUCUGCAUUGACCUUCACUUGGGGGAGAAGAGCUCAAAUAUAGGGUACAACGCACAUGAUUCUGGUGUAACACACACUGUGUCUGUGAGACCCAAUGGCCCUGGAGCACCCCCCUGAGUCCUGUGGGUUCGACCCUGAUGGUCAGACUCUUGCUCCUGGGGCUGGCAGGAGCUGAGCGUUUUGAAGAUGUGACGCCAUGACUUGCAGGAGAGAACUGGUCUAGUGGGUCUGCCCUGGCCCAGUGAUGGAGCAGCCUGAUUAAACCCUAUUAUCCUCCUGCGGGAGGCCUCUGGGCCUGACUGUGAGAUGGGAGGGAUGAGAAGACACGGAGGUAAAUGGAAGCCGAAGUAAGGUGAAAAUAAAGCGAUUCGCUGCACGCCCAUUCCCCCUGUUAAGCACCCGCCUUCUGCUCUGGGCAAGGUUGGAUCCUGUAGCUGACCCUGCUGGUCUGUGCUCUGGGACAUGGAGGUGAUGAGAGCAGGGAGCCCAGACCAUCUGUAGAGCUGGCUUGUGCCUUUCUGUGAUUCUGGACUCCGGCUGGAGCCUCCUGCCUCUGCUUGGCUGUGAAGAGGGAGGAGAAAUUUGUGUAAUAAUUUCUGACAAUGCUUGAACUCACCCCUGACUGCAGAGGUGGGGUGGGGAGACGGGAAAUGUCACAGAGCAAUUCCCUAACAUUUGUAGCUGUUUUAAAGUCCCAUGUCUCAGGCGGGCCUGGGGGGCAGAGCCCCCCUCCACACACUGUGCAGGAGCAUCUUUUACCCCACCCAAGAGAAGUGUCUGUGAGUGAAUAGAUAAUGUAGCAACUCAUCUGUUCUUACCAUUUGUCAUUGCAUGUGUUAUUUAUAAAGUGGCUACAUGGUUAUAGUCUGUCUGGGAAACCUGUCUCUGUAUCCAGAAGAGCCUGGAGACUUAAGGUCGGGGCACACGGUUUAUCUGGACACUAGGACGGUUCAUAGUGUAUUCAUACCCUUUGUGCUGGCUGGUCCCAUUUUGAAUUUCAGACUUUGCUGAGUCCCUUUGGAGUUCUCUGGACACCCACCCUGAUCGGUCCUUGUAAAACCAAGUUACACGCCCAGGGUCAGAUCUCCUGGGUCGGUCUCCCAGGCGCUGAGUGUACAGUCUGCAGGGACCAGGGGGCCUUGGCACAAGCAGGGGAAGCUGAGCACUACCCAGCUUGUUCUUGUGUCAAACUGGGGGAACUCCAUGUCCAGAGGGUGUGGGUGAUAAAUGGGCCCGUGCAAUUUCUGGAGAUAAUUUGAAGCCACCUAAAAGCCGGGCCCAAGGUGUUUACUGCCAGCAGAUGCUGCCCUGGGACUGCUUUGGGUUGGGCAUUGUAGUCCACUGACCCACGUGCAUCUUCUUCCAGCACCAAUGGCAACUCUGUCCCUACCGCCCAGGUAGGCUGACAUUUUCCAGAGACCCACAAUGUACAACACAACCUGCCUCCCUUUUGUGGCACCCAGGGGCAGCUGUUGGCAGAGGGAGGCCUGGCAGUGGGGGGCCAGUGGAGUCACCCCAUUAGGGAGCUGGAGAGAGCUGCGGAGGGCCCCAGAGCUGGUGCAGCCGUACAGAGCUUUCUGGCUGAUGGACCUGGCUUCUGGUGGAUACAGCGAGCUCCACAAUGUCUGGGGCCAAACCCACUGCUGCUUCUGUGGGGGGCAAAAGCCACUCUUUCCUCCACCCACGACAGAAGAAUUUAGAGGCAAUUCCCUGGGCCCCCCACAGGAUUUUAUGGCAGGAGGUUUUGAUCUGGCCAUUAGAUCUGUUUCUCUUGGCAAGUCCUAGGCAGGCUGUGCAGAGUCUGGAACCGGAUGUGGGUUGGAUGUUCAUGGCUGGAGGGUGGGGAGUCAGUUUUUGAAAAAUGAUUAAACUUGCAGCAUGGCUGCAAACCCCAAAGCUCUUGUGUCACACCCUUCGCGAUUACGCUUCAGGGACCUGUCACCUCGCUGCUUGGUGCUCACUGGACUGUUUCAUGGCAGACGUAAUUGAUCAAGCAGUUGAGAACCAGGACCUAUGCAAAUAGGAUGCCAGAAGCACAGAGAUGAAAACACAGUGUAGCAGAGGCUGAUGGAGCUUUAAGACUAGAAAUGGGACAAAAACAAAAACAGAGGCUCAAAUCCUAACCCAUGCACAUAUUUGAAGGGGGACAUGGUUUAAUACUUGUCCCCAUUUAUUUAUUAAUGAUCAUCAGGAUUAUGUUUACAGUCUAGAGCACAGCGCUGAAAUCUAGGCCUCAUGGUGUUAGGUGCUGUACAAACACAGUGUAAGAGGCAAUUCCCCGUCCGAAAUAAUUGACCAUCGAACUAGCCAAGUCAGACAAAGGCAAUUUCAAGAUGGGAACAGAGGCCCUGAAAGACUCAGUGACUUCCCCAAGGUCACAGAUAAUUGAACAUCUCCUGGAUCUGAAUCCCGUGCUUUUAGCACAAACCUUCUUUCUCCUCUGAUCCAAACUGGAUCCAAACUAACUCCCAAACCCAAACUCCAGCCUAGACCUAAUUCCCUACCCAGCCCAUCUCUAAUUAACAGAUCAGGUGGCGUGAGUGACCAUGUGCCGUCCCCCAAUGAGGCGUGUAUUGAAGGAGCCUCUCUGGUAGCAGUCACAGCCAGGGACUAGCUCCAGAACAGGGGCCUCCGGGCCCAGCUUUCAGAUGUCUCUUUGGACAGUGUUUGUGAACGUGAAGUGGCUGGUAAAUGCUCUGGUUUGGUGUUCGGGAGGGAGAUUUAAAGGCUGUCAGGGAAUUCCCUUCCCAAAGAGCAGCACUCUGCCAGGGCCCCUCUCUCCACCCUUCGAUACCCCAGCAGCGUUAGCAUGGCUGCUUAAGAUCAUAGCACACAAAGGGCUGGAUUACAUGAGGCUUCAUGAGAGAACAUGGGUCACCAGCUGCUUCACUGUGAGAAGUAAAAUUAAUGGUGGGAAAAAUAGUUAAGUCUGCCCAGAGGCGGAAGCAGGAAAUGUCACUAACGCAACCCACUUCCUUCUGCAUUAGGGGAAGGGCUGAUCCUGAACCUCAAACUUCUCAGUAUCUCUUUGGACAACAGAGAGCUGGCAAAGGCUGUGGUGCUGAAAGGUCGCCCCUCUGAGAGCAAAAUGGCUCUGUCAACCCCUGUGUCUGGAUUGACUCUUCCAUGGCUGGUGCUUCUGCUUUUCCUGGAAAUCCCUGGGGCUGGGGCCCAGAAGUUCCAGCUGCUGCAGCCCCAGGGCGCCGUGUCGGUGUCAGCGGGAGAGACCCUCACACUGACCUGCUUUGUGACUGGCCCUGCUCCAGUAGGACCCGUGAAGUGGUUCAAGGGCUUGGGCAAGGACCGGCAGCUCGUUUUUUCAGAUUUGGGAUCAUUCCCCCGGGUGACGCGGGCUGUGAGUGGCUCUAACACAGACUUCACAACACAUCAAUGGCAACGCCCCAAGGAGCGGGACUAUCGCUGCGUGAAGGUUAAGAAGGCGUCGGGACCCGAUGAGGAGAUCGGAUCCGGUGCUGGCACGAACGUGACUGUGAGAGCCAGCCCCUCGGCCCCGUCCGUGUCCGGCCCCCCCAGCGGGGCAGAGCCGGAUCCCUCAGUGACUUUCACUUGCACGUCAGGAGGAUUCUCCCCCAGAGAUAUCACUGUGACCUGGCUCAAAAAUGGGGCCAAACUCCCAGCCCCCGAGCCCCGCAUUCUCCCUGAACACGAGAGCGUCUCCUACAACAUGUCCAGCACCGUGGGGGUGAGCCUGACCCCAGGAGAUGCCCACUCCCAGCUUACCUGUCAGAUAAAGCACAGCACCUUACUGGCUCCCCUGCAUGGGACUUACAACCUCAGCGAUGCCCUGCGAGUUCCACCCAGGCUGCGAGUGGGCACUGACCCAGCAGCGCCCGUCACACUGAACGAGUCCGUGACGUUCACCUGCCACGCGGAGGGGUUUUACCCGAAGGAUGCGAGUCUCACCUGGCUGGAGAACGGAAAUGAGACGCAUCUUGGAAAAUCCUCCCCCCUGGCUGAGAAUCCAGAUGGGACGUACACGCUCCAGAGCUCCCUGGAGGUCAAAGCAACUGAACAGAGGAAUCGGUCCAUGUUCACCUGUCGAGUUGUGCAUGAUUCCCAGCCUCCUGUCAGUGCCAGCGAGAUGCUGAGAAUCUCCCAGCCACCUCCUGAGCCAGGCAAAGAUGAUACUUUAUCUGAUGCAGGUAAAUGUGCAGCUGAACCCUCCCCUGCACUGCUGGGAAAUGCCAGGUCUGUUCUGCUGAACCCAGGGGUCAUUUCAACCCAUCACCGGCAGUGGAGCUCCUCAGUGUAACAGCGACUCUUUUAUUCCAGGAUUAUUGCUCAACUCUGCUCUCCUGGGGCCCAUGGGUGCAGCAGGAAGGGGAAGGUUGAGGGCAGGAAAUGUCACUUUGACUGCACUCUGUGCCGAGGGAAGAUGCUCUCUGCAGCCCUGCAGAGUGUGAAUGCCCCUUAGAGAGGGGCUUGAACAUGGUGAGUCCUGCAGAGCUGGUGAUCCAAGGACUCCGGCACUGCUCAGGGAUUUGAGGCUUUUAAGUAAAAGUGCAGGUGGUUCCUGAGUUCUUAUUCUCCUGCUCUGCAAAGCUCGAGGUCUCCACUGUAGAGCCUGGGCCUCCUUGGGGCCAGCCAGCAGCAUGUGGAUACAGCUGCCAUGCAGAGCUGGGCAAACUCUGCAGAGGCCAUUUGCCAAACUGCUGUUCACAGAUAGGAACUCGCCAAGCCACAGGGAAGGCCAGUUUCCUCAGAGCCUGGUAAAGGUGCACGUGAGACAGGGUGGGAUGGCCGGGAAACAGCAGUUCUCUUGUCUGCUGGGGGUUUCUCUCCAUUGGCUGAUCUGAGGCAUUUACAUUGCAGGUCAGAGCCUGUUCUCCAGCCCCGCUCUCUGGAUCGGGCUCUUCCUGGAGAAGGUGCUGACUGCUGCCUUCCUCCUCUUCCUCUUCCUGAGAAGUAAAGAGUAACCAGCCCCUGGUCUAUUUCCCAGAUUUCUCACACUGUCACCACCUGCCAACUUCUCUGUCAGCAGCCUCUGUCCCCGCAGUCCAGGAAAGGAGUCCCUAUAUGGUGGAGCUGCCGUGACCCCUUCUGGCCAAUCCGAUUAAGCCCAGACCCCUGAUGGGACAUACCCACCGCUCACUCAUGCCUACUGAUUGCAAAUCCUGACAGGGCUCCCUGCUCCUUCUAGCCCAUUGGUUCUUAAACUUGGGAUCACGACCCAGUUGUGGGGGGGGGGUUGUGAGCCCAGACCCUGGCGCGGGGCUGCGAGCCAUGAGCCCCGACCCCUGCGUCAGGCUUCGAGCCCUGACCCCAACAGCGGUGCGUGGCUGCGAGCCCCAACCCCCACCCCAAUGUGGGGCUGCGAGCCCUGACCCCGAACCUGGCCAGGAGCAGGGCUGCAAGCUAUGAGUCUCGAUCCCUGUGCUGGGCUGCAACCACGACACCCGACCCUGACACCGGCGCGGGGCUGUGAGUCCCGACCCCUGUAUGGGGCUUCAGAGCUGCGAGCCCCAAUCCCAACCCUGGCCAGGAGUGGGGCUCUGAGCUCUGUCCAGGUGCAGGGCUGUGGGGCUGUGAGCCCUGACCCCGAUCCCCGUGCACGGCUGCGAGCCCCAGCCCUGGCCAGGCGCGGUGUUGUAAUUCCCAACCCAACCAGGAGUGGGGCUGUGAGCCCUGAGCUGGGGCAUCCAGGACGCUGUGAGCCCCGACCCCUGUCCUGGGGUGUCAGGCAGAGCCCAGCCAUGCUGAGGGUUAUCAGCCGGGAGCUCCGCCAGGCAUGAGGUUGUUAACCACCAGCCCUGCUACACACAGGGCUGUGAGCCCGGCCAGGCGCUUGUGAGCCCCCAUCACCACCAGGUGUAGACCUCAGAGCCCCAAGCUCCUCCAGCCCAGCUCCACCCCCAGCUCCACUCCACCUCCAGCGCUGCUCCACCCCCCAAAAACGGGCGCCAAAUAGAAGUUUGCCCAGGGCUCCAUUUUUCCUAUGGCUGGUCUGAUACUGAGACAACAUUAGAGGGCUUGAUUCUUUAGCAGCUGAACAGGUACUUUAUUAAUUAACAGUCAGACACAGAAGCGCAAACCUUCUCCUGAAAAUAAUGGCCACCUGUACUGGUAAAACUGCUAAAAAACGAAAGUAUCUUGUCUUACAUUAAAAUCAGUUUUCCAAUAUCAUUACCUCUGGUAUUGAAAAACUGCAAUGCCUCGUUUGCUGUGAAGUCUUCUCUGCUGAAUCAAUGAAACUGUGCAAACCGCAGCGACAUCUGGAAACUAGACAUCCUGAGCAUAAAAACUGAAGUGUGGAGAAGAAGCAACGAAGGCAGCCGGGCUUGAUGCUGAUGGAAGUUUCCGACAGCAAAUGUCCUCAACUGUGGAGGCCUCUUAUGUUGUGUCACUACGAACUGCCCGUACCAAAGCGGUGCGUACAGGAGGUGAGGAGCUUAUUCUGCCAGCAGGCAAAGAGAUGGAGAUUGGCAAGGAUACUGCCAAAAACCGGAAUAUGCUCUCCAUGUCUAAUGACACUGUGAAACGCAGAAUAUGUGAGAUGUCUGAAGAUAUCAAAAAACAAGUUGUGCAUGAAAUUAAACAUUCUGCUUUCAGUAUAUUCAGCCUGCAAUUUGAUGAAACUACUGAUGUUACUCACUGCACACAACUGGUCACAUCCGUACGGUGUGUUAAUGCCUGGGAUGUUAAGGAUGAGUUCUUAGUCUGCGAACAAUUUGAAACAACCCAACAGCACAGGACAUUUUCAAUAAGGUGAACACCUUGUUCGAAAGCAAUGACAUUGAGUGGAAGAAUCUUUGUGGUAUCUGUACCGAUGGUGCUCCAGCAAGGAUGGGUGCACAAUCUGGCUUUCAGCAGAAGGUAAAGUGUGUCUCACCUAAUGUGAUUGUCACUCAUUGUGGAAUCCAUCGUCAAGUCCUAGCUGCAAAGACAUUGCCAAUAUGCCUUAAUGCUGUGGUGGAUGUUGUUAUACGAGCAGUGGACUACAUUAAAGCUCAUGCUCUGAAUAGUCAUCUCUUUCGAGGGCUCUGCAAUGAAACGGGAAGUGAAUAUGAAGUUCUGCUUUUCCACACUCAAGUCUGAUGGCUUUCUAGGGGAUGCACAUUAAAGCGCCUUUUUAUAUUUGGUGAAGAGACGGCAGAAUUUUUCCUGCGAAGAGAGAAACAAGAGCUGAACAAAAUGUUCAGUGACAAGAAAUGGCUUCUCUGCUUGGUAUACCUAGUUGAUAUCUUUGAUAGCCUUAAUGAUCUCAAUCUGUCACUUCAGGGAAAACGUUCAACAUUAAUAGACCUGACUAAUAAAAACAGAGCCCUCCAGAUGAAGUUGGAUCUGUGGUGCAGGAAGCUGGACACAGAUAGAUACGGAAUGUUUCUGACACUUUCCUUGUUCAGCGAGGAGGUGGAAGUUAAUGUGGAUAGUGCUCUCAAGUCAGUGAUCAGUGAACAUUUGAGAGCCCUUCACAAAGAGUUCUCACACUACUUCCCAGUGCUACCAGAAGCACUUCAUUCCCUGGUGAAGAACCUAUUCAGUGUAACAGCCGAGCAGUUAUCUACUGACGAUAUUCACGCACAGGAACAGUUUGUCGACAUUAUCAAUGAUGAUGAAGUGAAAGCAAAAUUCACACAGCUGCCUCCAAAUCAGUCCUGAUGCUCAGUUGCAAGUGGAUACCCACUGGUGUCUGAAAUGGCCCUGGGAAUCCUUCUGCCAUUUCCCACUACCUACGAAUGCAAGGGUGGAUUCUCCAGCCUUCUCACAAUAAAGACAAAAUCUCGAAACCGGCUUGAUGAGCUCGAAACGACAUCAGAUGCACCCUUUCUAAAACAAAACCAAGAAUAAAACUUCUUGUGUCAAAUAAACAGCAUCAUCCAUCUCACUGAUUUUUGACUGCUUCAGGUCAUUAAUUGCUGUCAAUUAUUAAAAUAAAAUUCUACUUAAAAAUAA